AAAGGUUUAUCAUCAUGAAUGUAUUUGGCAGGAUGCUUGGCUUUCCUUCUACAUAUAUAUAUAUAAUAUACAUAUACUUCAGCAAUCAAUAGUAGUUCAAUCGAACAUAUUCUCAUGUUAAUAGAUUACAAGAAAUCACAAAUGAAUUUACAUUACAACAAAAUAUUUCCAAGUAUCUGAGUAGCAUCCAAGAAACAAAGGGUAUGACAGCCUCAAAGCAGUCCAAAUAUCGUGAUAUGGUGAUCAAAUAGGAUUUACAAUAUCAUUGUUUUGUUUUGAAACAAUUUCAGGACAAUGGGAACAUACUAUUAUUGUCUUCAACAAAUGAAAUUAUGCCAGGGGAAAGAAAAUGAAACAUUUCAUGCUUAACAAUUUUUUAAUUCAAUAAAACCAAACUAAAUUUAAACUGAACCAGUUUGGAAUUACUGACUAUAACUGAUAAAAACACAUAAAUAACACAAAUUACAAAUCAGAACAAUCAUAGCAAUCAAGUGAUGCCUUUUAACAAAAAAAAACUUUUGAAUCUUUAUAUAUAUAUAUAUAUGUAUAAAUGUUUUUUUCUGUUUUCAGACAAAGUAACUAUUUGUAUCACAAAUAUAAAUAUUUUCAUAGGCAUUCACAAUCCUUAUUGUAAGACUAGGCUUUCUAAAUGUAAAGAUCAGGGAGUUAGAUAUGUAGAAAACACAAAACAAAAAUAAAUUUGAGAAAAAAACAACAACUGAUACUUAGCUCUUUAGUUAUGGUAGAAGACAUUUGAGGGUUGAAUAAAGAAGGGAAGUUAUUACAAAUAAUUAGAGUUACUGUUACUUCUAGAUUACUACUACCAUAGAAACUAUUUAGAUGCUGCGACAUUCAAUAACUAUUACUGCAACAUAAGUCAACCAGACGGGGGGCAUAAAUGGGGGGCAUAAAUCUAGAACGAUUGUUACUUAUGUAAAUGCUUUAAAAUUCUUGCUUGUAGAAUUGUACAGUUAUCAUUGAAAUACAAAAUCAAGUUUCACAGAAUUCAUAAUCAGAUGAAUGCAGAAUCUCUUAAUAGAAACAAAAUCUGAUUCCAAGAAUCACUGGUUAUGUCACUGGUUAUAUAACAUCAGUUUCAGCAUUUAAUUACACAAAAACAAAUGCUCUGUCAGGGACAAAGUGAAAUAUAAUACCUACAGAACACCCUAAGACAGUAAACAUAAAACAAUGAAGAGAUUCCACAGAGCAGAGACAAAAAAUUGAACUUUGAUAGGGCAUUGUUGAAUGGUAAAGAAAGGUGACAGUUAUCACAAGAUUAAUAGUUCAAAAAAAGAAAAAAAAAAGGGAUGUAAAAAAUAAUGAUUAAAUGAAGUCUGAUGGAAUUCCUGGAGAGACAGUGUCAUAAUAGUAAUGAUGAUAGUAAUAAUAAUAAUAACAUGCUCACUGAUUCUAUCAGACUUUACUAUAGGGAAAGCUGUAAUUUUAUGUAAUUUUACAGCAUAACAAAAUUUAAAAAAAUAAGUUGAAAUAAAAACUUGUUCAGUAUCACAUACAUUUGGGUCAGGUACAGAGGGUUACAAAACACAACAACAUGGGAUGGGGCUAAAAAAAGAUAUCACUGGAGAAUGUGGCCUGGAUGUCAUUGUUCAAUUGGAUACAAUUUAAUACAACUGAAUUGUUUGUAACUAUUUGUGCUUCAAAAGCCAAAAAUAAAAAUAAGAAUAAAAAACAAAAUGAAUGACCCACUUUCUGACACAUUGAAGCAGACAUAUUAUAAAAAAAACAUAUAAUAAUCAUUUAUGGCUGAAACAUAUUCAUAUUAAUUGGAGGCGUUACUGAUGAAAUUAAAGUCAAACUUGUACAUGUAUAUUUCUUAAAUUCUUACAUUGAAACAUCAAAAAAAAAAAUCAUUGCAACGUAAUUAAAAAAAAAAAAGUACAAAAAUAAAAUGAACGGAAGCAAAAUAAAUUGCCCAUAGCCAAACAAAGAUUAAUAAAACCACUUCGCCUAAACACACUGAAGAAUUAAGCUCAUCCGCCAAAAUUAUUAGGAAAAACAGACAGACCAGAAGUGUUUUCAAUACUUAAAAAAAUUUACAAAUUAGAAAACGCAAAUCAUAAAUAUCAUAGACAAUUCAAUUUUAUUUUCAAAAAUACCAUUAAGGUGACUCACUCCUUUCUCACGAGCCCUUCCAAAAUAUUUAUUGUUGAAUUUGUAAUGAAAUAAACAAAAAACAAACAAACAAACAAGCAAAUUUACAUAAAUAAUUUCUAUUUACAAAUAUUAAAUCAAAAGUUUAUAAAUAAAUAAAAGUUCAUUUACACAUUGAAAUAAAGUGCACAUAGUUCAUAAAUGUAUAAAUAUUUGUACAAAAUAUGACUUUAUUUAUUUUCUUUUUUUACAUUCCAAAUUCAUUUAGACACCUAUAAAUUUGUCAACUAAAUCUGGUUAUCAAAAGUUGUUUUGGCUGAGCCUACAAUGGUGCUAUCUCCAUAGAACAGGUCAUGGAAAACUAAUGAUCUCACUGACUACUUGUCAAACAACGAACUAGAAAAAUUAACAAUAAAGGCUAAAAGAAUCCACAUUUCAAAUGAUGGCAAUAAUUCAAAUCUAUUUACACAGGCAGAUUUACUAGAAGGCCUCCUAAUGACAUACAAAUCUACACAUUUAAAAUAAAAAAGGGAAAAUCUGAAAGCUUUAAGAAGUUAAACUCCCCCCCCCCCCCCCACC
This is a non-coding RNA of Biomphalaria pfeifferi, 2691 nucleotides long. Lineage: Eukaryota; Metazoa; Mollusca; Gastropoda; Planorbidae. The record is from the annotation of a GenBank genome assembly.